This 56-nucleotide transfer RNA is filed under the name Metastrongylus salmi. RNAcentral's name for it is "tRNA-Ser". The record is from RNAcentral. Lineage: Eukaryota; Metazoa; Nematoda; Chromadorea; Rhabditida; Metastrongylidae.
AAAUUAGUAAUUUUUUGUUUUGAAAACAAGAAUAAAGGAUUUUUCCUUUUAGUUUU